UGCCUCGGCGGAUCAGCCCGCUCCCGGUAAAACGGGACGGCCCGCCAGAGGACCCCUAAACUCUGUUUCUAUAUGUAACUUCUGAGUAAAACCAUAAAUAAAUCAAAACUUUCAACAACGGAUCUCUUGGUUCUGGCAUCGAUGAAGAACGCAGCAAAAUGCGAUAAGUAAUGUGAAUUGCAGAAUUCAGUGAAUCAUCGAAUCUUUGAACGCACAUUGCGCCCGCCAGUAUUCUGGCGGGCAUGCCUGUUCGAGCGUCAUUUCAACCCUCAAGCACAGCUUGGUGUUGGGACUCGCGUUAAUUCGCGUUCCCCAAAUUGAUUGGCGGUCACGUCGAGCUUCCAUAGCGUAGUAGUAAAACCCUCGUUACUGGUAAUCGUCGCGGCCACGCCGUUAAACCCCAACUUCUGAAUGUUGACCUCGGAUCAGGUAGGAAUACCCGCUGAACUUAAGCAUA
Molecule: ribosomal RNA, 457 nt
Filed under: Fusarium oxysporum
Lineage: Eukaryota; Fungi; Ascomycota; Sordariomycetes; Hypocreales; Nectriaceae
Description: eukaryotic LSU rRNA
Rfam family: 5.8S ribosomal RNA (bases 107-260)
Source: RNAcentral